This 43-nucleotide unclassified non-coding RNA is filed under the name Sorangium cellulosum So ce56. RNAcentral's name for it is "sce_s2m_4". The record is from RNAcentral. Lineage: Bacteria; Pseudomonadati; Myxococcota; Polyangiales; Polyangiaceae.
GCGGGUCCGAAGCGCUAGCGCGCCGCGUUCUCGAUCCGGCGCG